Long non-coding RNA from Rhinopithecus roxellana (golden snub-nosed monkey), 393 nucleotides. RefSeq lists it as uncharacterized. NCBI's taxonomy places the organism in Eukaryota, Metazoa, Chordata, Mammalia, Primates, Cercopithecidae. The transcript is spliced from 3 exons. The record is from RefSeq and is a predicted model, not a curated record.
UCCUCCUGCCACAGCCUCCCAAAGAAGCACAGACCAUCGCUAAGAGACACCAGAAACUGGUGCCAUUAUUAGGCCUUACUGAAAAGGAAAACUGAAGUACUCCCUGGUUGCUACCCACUGCCCAGCAUAUAGUGGAGGCUCACUGACAUUUGUCAAAUAAACAUCUAUGUACCUUUGGAUCAGAGGUGGAGCUCCAAGACAGCCUGGGAGGUGGACUGGAAGAUCCCUGGACUGAGACCAGGCAGAGGAUUGCUAAAUUGCAUGGAGCUGCUGGAGGCCAUUGUAGCCACCCGCCAGGAGACCCUCUGAGGAUGCAGCUCGGCAGAAGGAAGACCUGAGGGAUGGGGGUCACAUAUUGUGUUUCUUUUAAUUUUUGUGAUUUAAAAGAUUCCA